RNAcentral lists this unclassified non-coding RNA (237 nucleotides) under Hevea brasiliensis (rubber tree). The record is from RNAcentral. Lineage: Eukaryota; Viridiplantae; Streptophyta; Magnoliopsida; Malpighiales; Euphorbiaceae.
GCACAGUCUCAACGGCCUCCACUUCCGGAAUUUUGUUCUGGAUGAUGUCUAUCGCAGCUUUCAUCAUAUCAACAUUCUUACGAGGGGCUACACCUUUGUCAUAGAAAUCCAACCUCUCCUCAACCUGCUCCCGCAGCUUCUCCCCAAACACAGUAGUACUUACAUCUGAAAAACAAUCAAUGCGAGUUGCUACAGAGCACUUGUUUGCAAGGUAUCGAGCCAUCCGGCCUUUAUUUU